AGAAUUUUUAAAAUAAUUUCCUAUAAAUAUGAAGAAACUGAAACAUGUUGAUUAUAUACGCAAGAAUACUAUCUCACAGUCUGAAGCCAUAAUAUUAAUAAUUAUACACACAAGAUGAGCAAUAAUCCAAACCCGGAUUAUGUUCUAAAUCGAAGAAAAAGAAAAAGCUGUUUAACAUCCAACGAUUGGGUGAUAACGAAAGGCGGAGAAAGAAAGUAUCUUCAAUAUCUAAAGACUGGUGAAGAAGUUCAGGAAGUAAUGCCAGAUGGAACGUUGGGAUAUACUAAAGUAUACUGUUUUUCUCAUAAAGAUCCUCACCAGUCUAGCCCGAACUACCUAGAGAUAAUAACGGGUACACGCAGCAUAACACUAACUAAUAACCACCAUCUGGUAUUGUCUGAUGACGAAUCGAAUUCUUCAAGAACUUAUAAAAUGGCUAAAGAAGUCAAGAUAGGGGAUCGCCUGGUUUGCCAUGAUGGUCAACAUACAACUGCCGAACAGAUCACAGACAUCAAAGAGGUAGAAGGAAAAGGUGCGUUUGCUCCCAUAACAAAAUCUGGUGAGCUCCUGGUGAAUGGGAUUCAAGUGUCUUGCUAUUCCAGCGCGGAUCCAAACCUGGUCCAUGCCGCCCUGACACUAUUUCGGUUGACCUAUGACGUUACACCAACAUCUAUUUUCGAUACUUUAUUAUGGCCCAAUGAAAAUGGAAAUCCAUAUAUUUUUGGAGCAACAGUUAAAUUAUAUAAUCUGUUUACCUCUAAAGAAUAAAUAAAUUCCCAUUAAAUGCGUAUUUUUUUAUUUCUUUUUAUUUAUUUUUUUUACUCUUACAUAUAUUAUAACGUAUUCUACUAAUAAAGUAAGUGAUCUCUUUGGUUUUAGAUAAUAAGAAACGUUGUAUUGAAAUGUAUAGGCCUAUUAUCUAUUCAGUAGUAAUAUCAAAGAUCAAUUUGUUCAUAUAUUUCAAUAUGUCCGCAGUUUAAUGUGGUCAUCUAUUGCCGUUACCCAUUUAGUACCUAUCUGAUGUAAUUACCCAAGUUGUUAUAAUUUUAAGAUGGUUGCCAAACUUCUUUGGCCAGCAUAAUAACUACUGUAUUCAUUUGUUCAUCCAAUAUUCGAAAUCCUGUAAAUCUUGUCUGCCCGUAAACCCUUCUGGAUAGUCAAACGAAAGAACCAUUCUGUCCCUUUUUUAAAAACUUUUAUGAGUGUUAUUUUGAUUCGAUUUUAACAUACCAUCGUUGAUAAUGGAGAUCCUUGUAGUAAUGGGUUGCCUCUAUUUAUUUCCCUUGACAUUCUAUCCAACUUUAUGCAAUCACUCCAUUAUUUUUUCAAACCUUCUAUAGGCUUCUUUAACGACUCACGUGAACACUUUCGAAAUUCAGUGCCAUGCGUCAAUUAUUCGCGGAGUUAUUGUCACUGCACUUGAAAGUAUUGUAAUUGUUCCAACAUGUUUGACUAGUCAUAAGGGUGAACUCUAACAAAAUUAAGAGCCCCACACCAGUCAGUGCCAUAUAAACAUUGUGCGCUUGUGUUGGCAUAUAUUUCGUUGCCUGCCAAUCUAUUUUUACAGACGGACUGAAAGAUUUAGCUAUUAGUGUCAGUAUCUGGAAUCAGAAACAUCUAUAUAUUAUAAAUUCCAAUAUUCAUAAUUGUGUGAUUUCAUUUAAAUUAAAGAAAAGCUUUAUUCCAAUAAAUAUUAUUCUGUGUAUUUGAUUUUCAUUUAUUUCAAUAAUUAUAAUUGUGUUCAAUUGAUUUCAUUUAUAUUAAAAGAAAAGCUUUAUUCCAAUAAUAAUAAUAAUAAUAAUAAUAAUUCUGUACAUUUGAUUUCCAUUGAUAAAAAAUCAUUUUAAUUCAUCUAAUUAAAUAUGCAUCAUUAUUGAAUUAUAAAUUAGCCUGUUGUCAAAUAUAUACAUUUGUGCUACAAUAAUUUGUUUGUAUUAUAUACAUCUGCUAAAGUUAAUUUGUAUUGGAUCAUAUUAAUAAAAUACUCUUCUCAUUA
Molecule: long non-coding RNA, 1996 nt
Organism: Patella vulgata (common limpet)
Lineage: Eukaryota; Metazoa; Mollusca; Gastropoda; Patellidae
Exons: 3
Source: RefSeq, a predicted model, not a curated record